AAGACUAUACUUUCAGGGAUCGUUUCUAGAGAUUUUCUGACUUGAGGAAUGUGUUUCUAAAGUGUUAGGUCUCGCUGACCACGAUGAUGAUGAGUGUGAUAUUCCUUUCUGAGCGUGAAGCUGACAGAGAGUAAUGAUUCACUUCAUAUGCUCUCUGUCAUUGAUGAUUGUUCUUUGCUUCUUUAUGGAGUAUUGAGGAAAGGAAUAUGAUCAGAAUGGU
Etheostoma spectabile (orangethroat darter) is the source of this 220-nucleotide small nucleolar RNA. RefSeq annotates it as small nucleolar RNA U3. The record is from RefSeq and is a predicted model, not a curated record. NCBI's taxonomy places the organism in Eukaryota, Metazoa, Chordata, Actinopteri, Perciformes, Percidae. The transcript has a single exon.